This is a long non-coding RNA of Micropterus salmoides (largemouth bass), 1276 nucleotides long. RefSeq lists it as uncharacterized. NCBI's taxonomy places the organism in Eukaryota, Metazoa, Chordata, Actinopteri, Centrarchiformes, Centrarchidae. The record is from RefSeq and is a predicted model, not a curated record. The transcript has 4 exons.
ACUGCUCCCCAGGCGCUGUACAGUGGCUGCCCACUGCUCCUGAUUAAAAUGUAGAGAAUGAAUUUGACAUGCAUUAUACUGUGUGUAAUGGUGUGUGUGUGUGUUUGUCCUGAAGUGUGUUUUGGUUACUCCAAACAAUAAGUUGCUAUUUGUGAACAUCAUCGGUACCAUCUGCCAGAGAUUGCGUCACCUGACAUUGAAGACCAGCCGAUAGCAAUUUGACACUUCAGUAUCUGCUUUUAACUUAUUAGAUUUCUGGCCACACACAGAUUUGAUCUUGGGGUUUUGUUACUCUUUAAAAACAUUCACUUUUCAUUCAAUUGCAAUUCACCUGGCGACAGGCUGGUUUGUGGGGCCCUCCCAGUUCCAACAUUUCGCCUGUGUGUCCUUGAGCAAGGACACCGUUCAAGUGUAUUAAUGCAAGCAUUCACCAGGGAUACUGUUAAACUAGCAGAAAUUAGCAUAAUAUAAUACUGGUAGCCCUCUAUUUGACGAUCUAUCCUCUAUUUUAUUUUAUUUUUUUCACUUUUCUCUCCAUCAAGCUCAGACACAUCAGCUACGAGCUCAAGGAUCACGUGGCUGUUAUACGACUCAGUGAUUCAACAGACAAAGUGUGUGCGUGUAGCCGUGUGGGUGUGUGUUUAUGGAAGAAAGAAUGAGACGGUAAAUGUCAGAGAGAGAGAGAGGGAGAGAUUAUGUUUGUGACAGUCUUGACUACCUGUCUCUGUCUCAGUCUCUCACUGACAGAUGCGACAUGAUUAAUCAGAAUGUGUGCAUGUGUUUGUGUGUAGGUGAACACACUGUCGUUGCAGAUGCAGUCUGAGCUGAUGGAGGUGAUGGGGGAGAGAUCUGGUCGAACGGAGCAGUGAACAGUGCCAUCUUCAUCUCCAGCAAGUCUGGCUGCUUCAUCGCUGGGGCAGAUAUGAACAAACUGGGGCUUGUAAAUUGGGAUCUAAUCCUGUGAGAGCAGUGAGGAGGCCACCCAUCUCUCUCAGGAACGUCAGAAGAUUGAGAAAGCUUCCAUCUCUAUUGUUGCUGCCAUCUAUGGCUCUCAAGGUGGGUCUCCCCGGAGCGUCUGACAUGAUGCUGACAGGCAGGAACAUCAGGGCGGAUAAAGCCACGAAGAUAGGUCUAGUGCACCAGCUUGUGGACCCUCUGGGUCCUGGUGUGAAGCCUGCAGAGGCAAGCACUAUUGAAUACCUUGAGGAGGUUGCUGUGCGCGCGUGGCCAAGGGAUCCAAUAAGAAGGUUCCCUUUACAAAGGAGCAACAGCCUCA